RNAcentral lists this transfer RNA (81 nucleotides) under Micromonospora parathelypteridis. Its description in RNAcentral is "tRNA-Pro". The record is from RNAcentral. Lineage: Bacteria; Bacillati; Actinomycetota; Actinomycetes; Micromonosporales; Micromonosporaceae.
CGGCGGGUAGUUCGAGGUGGAGCUCAGCGUCGGCUGCUGAAAGGUGCGGCCGGCGCGCGGGUCCGUCUCCUGGGCUGCCGU